GACCCAGACCUAGCCAACCAAGAUGCCAGUGACUAUCACACCACCAGCUCAGGCCAAUCAGAGGCAGUGGAAUUGGACUGGGAGCUAUUAUUUGAGCUUCUGGAAAAGUAAUCUUGCUCUUGUCUCAUUGAUUCGACUCUGGGAGGAUGUAGCUCCUGCGGCUACUGGCAGCCACUUUGUGAAUAGAGAUUGAGUCUGAAGGGAAUUAACACAUGAAAGAAGGCCAAGCCUGGAAAGAGGGACCCCAGAACAUGACCUCAUCCUUUGAGCAUUUCAACCAAGCCCUGUACUCUUCUUCAGUACUGUGCACUCAUAAAAUCUCAUUUAGCCAGUGUUAGCUGGGGCAGGUUUACUGUUGCUUGGAACCAAAGGAAUCCAAAUGGAUACCUUCAGAGUUCAGUAAUUUGUGGUUCAUACCACAGCCUGGACUGUCACUGGGCAAUGGAGGAGGCCCCGGGUGAGGACCAUGGAAACAGUAUCAGCCAGUGCUGUGUGACAUUUGCCAAGUGCUGUUUCAAGGCCUUUAAUCCACAUCAGCUCAUUGGAGGUGCUAUUUGCACCGUCUUUCAGGUGGGAACCAGAGGCUCAGGCAGUCGGAGGACACAUGCAAGAUCACACAGCUCCUAAACUGGGGUUCAGUAGUGCUGGGUUUCCAUGCACCCAUUGGGCCCCUUGAGGACCUGGCCUCCCUCACUUGUCCCCCAGGCCCACCUCCCGCCCUCCCUUUGGGUUCUGAGCAAUCUCAGGUGGUCCUAAUUCUCUCCAGCUUCUUGCUGGGCACUACAGGGACCUUGAACCCAGCUGCCAGGAGAGGCUGGGCUCCUGCAUUCUUUCCCCGGUCCCAAUUCCUCCCUCGGGGCAGGGCUAGGGGGCAGAGGAGGGGAGGAUGAGGGGUCUCAUGUGGGCUCCUUGCCUGGUGUCUGUAAAGUGGCUUCUGAGCCUGGUUGCACCACUGGCUCUGGCUUGCCUCUGGCCCCAGCCCCAAGCUAAUUUGAGCUUGGCUUUCAUUUUCUUUCUCUUCCCUUUUCUGCCCCUUUUUCAUGUACGAGAGAGGCCCCAGCACAGACAAGGAGAGGGAAAAGCAGCAAGAAGAUGGAUGGAUGCAGCAGGAUACUCUGUCGUAAAUAAGAAAAUCCAAAUAGUGGAAAUCAUUUAUUUGUUCCUAGAUCCCAAAGUCUGGUGGCUGGGAUGGUAUCAGGAUUGAACUCAGGACCUUCCACUUUUGAGGCACGUGGUGGAACCACUGAGCUAAAUCCCCAGCCCGCCACAUGGCUUUGACAGUGCCAGACCUCCCUGGGACUGACAGAAGGUGUCUUCGGAGCUCGUAUGUAUAUUCGAGGAAUCGGCUUUGGACUGAGUUACAUCCUCUUGCAUAAACCAGUCACUGUGUCCGUAGGAGGCUUUGACCCAAUAUACACAGCUGAGGCUGGAGAGGGCUAAACCUUUCCGGGUGGAAUUGGGGCAUAGGCAGGAGAAGGGUGACAGCCAUUACUGGAUGGCCCAGAGCCCAGGUGGCAGCACCUAAAUGAUACUCAUGCCUGACAACGAAUGGAACACGCUUUCCCAAACCAUUUUCUUUUCCUUUCUUAGACUCACAGGAAGUCCUGGGCACAAACUACUGUGACCAUGCAUUACUCUUUCGGUUUUAAAAAUAAAGCAAGAAGGCUUGGAGAGGUAGAGUGGCUUGCUUGGAGUCACCAGCCAUGCCCGGCAGGGCUCCUUGGAGCCAUGGUACUCUGGAAGGCCUCAGCAGCUGGCAGCACCCAGGGGGCUCCCAGGAGGAUUUGCUUAGAGCAAAGAAAGAAGUUCAAAGUCUGCAGACUUACAGUUCAGAACCAAGAGGGCUGAGGGAGGGGUCAGCGAGUCUGGAAUGGAGAGUGUGGGUCAGGGUACCUGGCCAAAAGUCAGGGCACAAAAUUGUCCCCAAAUGCUGUAAGCUGCAGAAGGUAAGUCUGGGGCGGGGUGCAAAAGAAGAUCCCUGGGCUUUCUCUGGAUGCACUGGCCUUGGAGGGCCAAAUCUUCUCCCCGCAGGCUCCCACUUCGUUCCCCAUCUUAUCCACAGCUCCUGCUUUCAUGGGUUUGACCCACUGCAGAUUGAGAAUAUUCAGAAAAAACCAACUGGGUCUGUCCUGAACCUAUACAGACUUUUUUCUUGCUAUUCCCUAAACGUCACCCACAGAAGGAAUCCGUCCUACACAGUGACCCAGUUUGCAAACACUGAUACUCACACACAAAUAGAACGGAAAGGUGGUCAGCCUGCACCAUGCAGCCCUACCAGGUGCGAAAAGCCUGAAAUGCUCCAAGCCAGGCCAACUGGAGUGCAGUGGGAUUCCUGAUGUGAAAAUACAGAGAGGGAAAAGCCUAGGAGCAGAGGCCGAACCACUGUUGCUGCUGCCUUGACACAGCACCUUAAGCUGGAAAGUAAGGAUUGGGCCCAGGUGGGGUCUGAGCUCAGCUGGCUGCUUCUGAGCUGUUUCUGCCAGCAGGUGACAAACCUGGGCAAUGCAUUUGGAGCCUGUGGUGGAUUAACUAAUGUUCGACUUAGAGCACCCAGCUGAACUGAGUCAGCAUGGUUCUGGGCAUGGAAGACCCACCUGAGGACUGUUGCCAAUGGCAUAAAAGGAGACCUAAAGGGGAAGAUCGUAUGCUGUUGAUUUUCUUGGAGAAGCUUGUUGUGGUUGGUUUUCCUGGCGCGAACUCAGCUGUUCUCAUCAGAGGAGCACGGGUCUUCCCUGUCACCGAGGAUGGCUGCUGUUCUCUUCAGGGGAGCUCUGGUCUAUGCCUUGAGCGUUGCUUCCUGGCUCCAGUGCAGAGCCCUCAGCCUGGUGGCACAGGUACUUCACCCUGCAGGUGCAGACUUUCUAGCUUCCACCACUGGUCUUUGGGCCUUCCGGGUGCAGAUCUUUGGUAUGGACUUGCAUGGGAUGUUGCCAUGGGCUCUAGGCCUCUGGCUGGACUCUAGGCCUCCAGCUGGACUGUGUGGGAUAUUGUCAUGGGAUCCAGGCCCUUGGCUGGAUUCUUCAGGUCUCUAGUAUGUGGACAGAUCUCUUGUAUUCCUCUGCAUUUGACUUUUUGGGAGAAAAUUAUAAAAUAUCCUGUAAAUUAUAUGUCCUAUAUUAAAUCUAUUCCCUUGCAAACUCUUGACUACAACAGAGUCCAAGUAGGAAAACUACACACUAAUGGCCCAAGGUGGGGGUUUGACUUCUGAUUACUCACAGUUAGAAGAUCUAACCACUCCCAACCUCGGGUUAUCUCCACUGAGGGAGAUGGGUAGGGACCUCGCUUACUGGUCCAAGAAGGUAUAGGUGUGUAUAUUUGGGUUUGUGCAAAUUGUAGAUUUGCUUUGAUUCUUUAGAAAUAAUCCCUCUGUCUCCAGUGUUAAAACCAAAAACUUUCAAGUCCCAGACAAACACCAUGAGGCCCCCAUCCUGAGGCCAAACGGGUGCGUGCAGGGCCCUGAUGCCAUGACACAGGUGCCGGUCCCUCAGGGAUUAGAAUACACUGAUUUGGGUAUCCUUGAAGACCAGGCCUGCCACACCUUCAUCUUAUCUACAGUUUGAGUCAGAAGGGACAACAAAGCCAUAAAAACCCAACCUGUCAGGUUUUCAGAUGUGUAAAACAAGGCCCCCAAAGUAAGUUCCUUAGAUAAAGUCACCCAGCAGGCUCAACAGAGCAGAGCCCAGGAGUCCUCCUUCCUGUUCAGAGCUCUCUUUCACCUCAGCUUUCCUCCCACCUAACUUUACAUUUGUACUUUAGAAAAUAUCCCCGUUAUGAACUGGAAGCACAAGUGUGGUCCAUUUGAAGUGCCUUUAGGAUACAUAUAUGCAUAGCUUUGGAUACACAUAUUCCCAGGCCCCUUUGAAAUAGUUCACAAUCAGGUAGAAUAGAAAAAUUCCUGUGCUGGGAAAUAAUAUCUACUGGAGGUCACAAACCUCUCACUCACUCAGUUUGUUCCCUUAUCUUCCCUGAGUCUCCCUGUCCCAACUGUAAAAUGACCACACUUGCCUUGACUCCUCAUGGGAAGAGGGGUGAAUUGGGACAAUUUCCACAGAAGAACCUUAUGUAUUGUAGAGCAUUUUUAGACAGAUAAAUCAUCACAACAUGGGCUAAAAUUGAGGUUGAAGUGGAGGGGAUUGCCUGCGCCCAGAUCCCCUCACCAAGUGUGUGAUUUGGGGCCUGGCUACUUAACCUUUCAAGUAGUGUCUGUCUUACAGGGUCAUUGUGAUGACUUCAUGGUUUAAUUCCCAUAAACUACUGCUUGGCACAUUUUCAGUGCUCAAUAAAU
Heterocephalus glaber (naked mole-rat) is the source of this 4285-nucleotide long non-coding RNA. RefSeq lists it as uncharacterized. NCBI's taxonomy places the organism in Eukaryota, Metazoa, Chordata, Mammalia, Rodentia, Bathyergidae. The record is from RefSeq and is a predicted model, not a curated record.